This is a regulatory RNA element of Idiomarina xiamenensis 10-D-4, 114 nucleotides long. It matches the Rfam family "Ribosomal S15 leader". From Rfam's summary of the family: The E. coli Ribosomal S15 gene 5' UTR can form two alternative structures. One that is a series of three hairpins, The other includes a pseudoknot. The record is from Rfam. Lineage: Bacteria; Pseudomonadati; Pseudomonadota; Gammaproteobacteria; Alteromonadales; Idiomarinaceae.
UGUGGUUGCUGAAUUAGUGAUCGGCGAGCACGUUAUUUCAUCCUUAAGGAGUGUAUUAUGUCACUAACUGUUGAACAGAAAGCGAAACUGGUAGAAGAAUUCGGCCGUGGUGAG